RNAcentral lists this ribosomal RNA (256 nucleotides) under uncultured bacterium. RNAcentral describes it as "partial 16S ribosomal RNA". It matches the Rfam family "Bacterial small subunit ribosomal RNA", at positions 99 to 354 of the family's 1533-position model. The record is from RNAcentral.
CGGACGGGUGAGUAACGCGUGGACAACCUACCCCGCACUGGGGGACAACAGCCGGAAACGGCUGCUAAUACCGCAUAUGCGCACAGCCCCACAUGGGGCGGUGCGGAAAGCCUUGUGCGGUGCGGGAUGGGUCCGCGUCUGAUUAGCUGGUUGGCGGGGUAACGGCCCACCAAGGCGACGAUCAGUAGCCGGCCUGAGAGGGUGGACGGCCACAUUGGGACUGAGACACGGCCCAGACUCCUACGGAAGGCAGCAG